CUCAGUUUAUAUCAGAUUAGUACAUAAUCAAAUCUUAAAUCAAACCUUUUGUUCUUAGAGGUCUUUCCAAUUGUAUCAGAGACCUCUUCCCAGGUAGCCCAGACCAAGCCUAGAAUUAUCCUUUUAUAUCCAUUGUAAAGUAUCAGACUUUCCCUGACAAUCCAGCCCUGGAUUCCUCAAUUCCUUGAGGCCAUUGUAAAGCUAAUCAGUCAUCCUUCCCUGUCCUUUAUUCCCCAAAAGGUAUAUAAGACCCCCAAGUUUAGUUACUCUUUGGAUAAUUCCUAGGGUGGGGGAUGUUUUCCAAGACACACUGUUCCCAGUCUCAGAGCUUUGACUCUGUGUGGUAUGAAGGUCUUGACUCUGGGUGGUGGAGGAAUCUUGAGCACACUCUGGUCCCGAUUAAAGACUUGGCCUUUCUAACUGCUUUAGUGUUUGUGUGUUUUCCAAAAUUGACACCUGGAACCAAACCUUCAUUUCAUUUUCCUAGUCUGCAGCUUGAUACUCAGGUGCCCCCAGAGUUCUAUUCUCUUAUUUGAAAGUUAGUACAGUACCUGUUACAUAGUAAGUACCCAAUGAAUAGCACAAUUCUGUCUGUCUGUCUAUGUAUCUGUCUAUCUAUUUGUCUCUCUUUCUGCGGUUUAUUCUUGUCUCUUUGUUCAUCUCUCUGUCUGUCUGUCUGUCUUUUCUUUAGUCUGUCAUUUUAAGUGAGUAUUGUGUAAUUAGAAUUUUGAACCUCAGGAUUUGCUUUCCCAGCAUCCCACUUUUGUUUUGUUACAUUCAUCAGUUUUGGGGAUAAAGUUUGUGUGUGACACACACCCUCUCUUCUCUUUUCCUGUGAACGUGGCUGGGAAAGCUGGCUGUACUUAGCCUUUUACUUUUGUCCUUUUAUUCUUUCUACUUCAAGUAAUUAUUAUUACAUCUUAUAAAAUCUAAUUCUUGGAGUCAUUGGAUAUUGAUUUAAAUUUACAGUAUCAAGAUUUUUCUGUAUUUGAAUAACGUGACACUCUGUGUGACCUUGGGCUAGUCACUACCCCCCACCUCCUCCCACACCACUAGGACUUGAGGCAGUCUUUUUCUUUACAAGCAGCAAAAAGCUGAGUGGAGGCUCAGUGGGUCCCUUUCCCCAGCAGACCUCCCCUCUUGCUCCCUCCCCCAAAAUUUUGGAUGAGAGAUAAAGGGUAUACUCACCAGGACAGUACUUUUCUAGUAGUCACAGCUCUUCCAAGGCAACUAUUGUCUUCUUCUGCCUCCACAUUCUCCCCUGGCUGGCUCUGCUCUUCCCUGAGCUUCAGAAAUGUGGAAUUAAAUCCAGCUUCUGUGAAGUCACUGGCUCUGUUACCAAACAUUCCCUUGUUGCUAUGACAAUUGGGCCCAAACAAACCUCACUCUUAGCCAGGUGAGGCUUGUCACCCUUGACACUGUACUCUCCUAAGAGGAAGUUGGGUAACUGAGUGAAUUUACCCCUCUCACUGCCAUCUCUCCUUGACCACAGAGAGAAUCCAGUGUCCUCUUUGUCACCAGGGAUCCCCUCAUCCC
Molecule: long non-coding RNA, 1536 nt
Filed under: Monodelphis domestica (gray short-tailed opossum)
Lineage: Eukaryota; Metazoa; Chordata; Mammalia; Didelphimorphia; Didelphidae
Description: lncRNA (ENSMODG00000038778.1)
Source: RNAcentral